GUGGAUUAGAUACCCUGGUAGUCCACACUGUAAACGAUGGAUACUAGGUGUGGGAGGUAUCGACCCCUUCCGUGCCGGAGUUAACACAAUAAGUAUCCCACCUGGGGAGUACGACCGCAAGGUUGAAACUCAAAGGAAUUGACGGGGGCCCGCACAAGCAGUGGAGUAUGUGGUUUAAUUCGAAGCAACGCGAAGAACCUUACCAGGGCUUGACAUCCCAAUGACCGCUCUAGAGAUAGAGCUUCUCUUCGGAGCAUUGGUGACAGGUGGUGCACGGUCGUCGACAGCU
RNAcentral lists this ribosomal RNA (289 nucleotides) under uncultured bacterium. RNAcentral describes it as "partial 16S ribosomal RNA". It matches the Rfam family "Bacterial small subunit ribosomal RNA", at positions 773 to 1060 of the family's 1533-position model. The record is from RNAcentral.